Molecule: transfer RNA, 85 nt
Filed under: Inquilinus limosus
Lineage: Bacteria; Pseudomonadati; Pseudomonadota; Alphaproteobacteria; Rhodospirillales; Rhodospirillaceae
Also listed under: 9 other names
Description: tRNA-Leu
Rfam family: tRNA
About the family: Transfer RNA (tRNA) molecules are approximately 80 nucleotides in length.
Source: RNAcentral
GCGGGCGUGGCGGAAUUGGUAGACGCACUGGAUUUAGGUUCCAGCGGCGAAAGCCGUGGGGGUUCAAAUCCCUCCGCCCGCACCA